RNAcentral lists this ribosomal RNA (253 nucleotides) under uncultured bacterium. RNAcentral's name for it is "partial 16S ribosomal RNA". It matches the Rfam family "Bacterial small subunit ribosomal RNA", at positions 524 to 776 of the family's 1533-position model. The record is from RNAcentral.
UACGUAGGCAGCGAGCGUUGUUCGGAAUUACUGGGCGUAAAGAGUGUGUAGGCGGUGUUCCCAGUCUGUUGUGAAAUCUUUCGGCCCAACCGGAAAAGUGCCCCCGAUACUGGCCGCCUCGAGGGGGGUAGGGGCAUGCGGAACUUCCGGUGGAGCGGUGAAAUGCGUAGAUAUCGGAAGGAACGCCGGUGGCGAAAGCGGCGUGCUGGACCCCUUCUGACGCUGAGGCGCGAAAGCCAGGGGAGCAAACGGG